This 1194-nucleotide long non-coding RNA is filed under the name Citrus maxima (pomelo). RNAcentral's name for it is "long non-coding RNA (CMAX_LNC001850)". Lineage: Eukaryota; Viridiplantae; Streptophyta; Magnoliopsida; Sapindales; Rutaceae. The record is from RNAcentral.
AAGAAUAUUAUUACUUGGAUAUGUUUUCUUGUAAUAAGACUGCAGACACCGUUACAGGACUCUUUCAAGUGGAAUUUGGUUUAUGAUCACCAGGACGUGUGUAGCAAAACCAUUAUUUAAGACUACCAUAAAUAUGCUUAUGGAGAUGGCAACACCAAGGCUUCAUUCGCCAUCACCUUUUAUUUCUCAUCCUUGUUUCGUCCAUCUUAGUUAAUGCUGCAAAUAAACAAAAAGAACAAAUCAAAGUUAAGCUUGAGUUAUCAAGUUCUAAGGGAAACAAAUAUGUCAGUCAUAUAGCUGAAUAGUUUUUCAGGUAAAACUGUAAAAGAUAUGCAAUGAAAGGAUUUAUUUUGCUCAGUUGGUGGUCCUGGAGAUGGGAAUAUUCAUUUCAACUGCACACUUCGUAGGAAGAGAGGAGGCAGCAUGUUCCUUGAUAAUCGAAUAUCUAGCAGCAGCUGCCAUGACACAAUCGCGAGCUGCCCGUAUAUCAGCUGUGGUUGGUGUGAUUAUCUUGAGGUUCUUAACACCAUCACAGCACAAAGCAGAAGGGCUGCAUCCAACUGUCAAGUAAGAGAUGCAAGAAGCCAGAGAUGUAUCGACUGAUCAAGACAAUUGACUCAAACUUUCAAGAUAAACUAAGAACGCACUAGCGAACACGCACGUAAAAUUUAGGCCGGUUUGGACUGGGAUUUUCCAUGUAAACUAGAGUAAACAAUUUAAAAUAAAAUAUCCGAAAUUGCAAUGAACAGUUCAUAAAAAGAUUAAAAUAAGUUGUAAAUUGUGAUUAAUGAAUCAUUCUCUGCCACUAAACAUUAGAUUUAAGUCAAUUAUCAUUCACUUUCUUUUGAAAACAACUCCUCUAAGAUAAUUACAAGCUCAAUUAUCUUGAUCUUUCCUUAUUUAGUUGUUAAGUACAAUAAGCUCUUACUUAAUAUCUGUCUAUGAAUCACCUAGAACAAUGUCACGAGAUGAGUUUGUUGCACAGCAACCCAUGCGGCACGUAGACAAACUUCUAGUACAAAAGUUGCUAAAUAAGCCGAAAGAACUUCUCAAGCUAGUCAAACAAGAUGAUUGCUCAAAGGCUAGAGAGAAAAAAGAGCAAUAUGGCCAAAAAUAAUUUUAUUACUUGCAAAAGAGAAUACAAGAGAGCUUACAAGGAUGCUUGAGUUGCUUGGUAUUGUGUGUGGUGUGGUG